RNAcentral lists this ribosomal RNA (484 nucleotides) under uncultured bacterium. Its description in RNAcentral is "partial 16S ribosomal RNA". It matches the Rfam family "Bacterial small subunit ribosomal RNA", at positions 28 to 523 of the family's 1533-position model. The record is from RNAcentral.
GACGAACGCUGGCGGCGUGCUUAACACAUGCAAGUCGAACGGGGUCCAGUCUGUAGCAAUACAGAGGAAGACCUAGUGGCGAACGGGUGAGGAACACGUGAGGAAUCUGUCCCGAACUCUGGGAUAACAGUUGGAAACGACUGCUAAUACCGGAUGCCGUCAUUGGAUCCCAUGAUUCGAUGACGAAAGAAUUUCGGUUCGGGAGGAUCUCGCGGCCUAUCAGCUUGUUGGUGGGGUAAUGGCCUACCAAGGCAUCGACGGGUAGCUGGGCUGAGAGGAUGAUCAGCCACACUGGGACUGAGACACGGCCCAGACUCCUACGGGAGGCAGCAGUGGGGAAUCUUGCGCAAUGGGCGAAAGCCUGACGCAGCAACGCCGCGGGCGGGAAGAAGGCCUUCGGGUCGUAAACCGCUUUCAGCAGGAACGAAAAUGACGGUACCUGCAGAAGAAGGUGCGGCCAACUACGUGCCAGCAGCCGCAGUAA